Long non-coding RNA from Psammomys obesus (fat sand rat), 410 nucleotides. RefSeq lists it as uncharacterized. The record is from RefSeq and is a predicted model, not a curated record. The transcript is spliced from 2 exons. Lineage: Eukaryota; Metazoa; Chordata; Mammalia; Rodentia; Muridae.
GAGGAGGUGAUCCGGGUCAUCGUUCUGCCCUUCCUGCCUCAGUUUCCCUACUUAUCGAAUGAACAUAUGGUCAUAAGCCCUCCUUGCCUUACUUCACACUUCUGGGAGGAUCAAAGGCAAGAACAAGUUGGUCCAGAGUGAGCACCCCGCGUCGUCGAUCAAGGGAACAUCACACACUGGCCUGGCCUUCCUUACGCAGGGGCAGCCGAAGUUCCAGAGAGGCUCCGUGGUUCCCCUCGCCAAACAGCUGGGAGAAGAUGGAGCUCCCACCAGGCUGGCCUCUUGGAUUCUAAAUCUGAGUCUCUUUCCACCACCUCCUCUGCAGGCCCCUGGGCUCCCCAGCAGAGAGCGUGUGCCUCGCUGCCAUCUCCCGCACAGGACCAACAUGUACCCUCUUUCUUCUCCCACUG